Papio anubis (olive baboon) is the source of this 148-nucleotide unclassified non-coding RNA. It matches the Rfam family "Metazoan signal recognition particle RNA". Rfam says of the family: The signal recognition particle (SRP) is a universally conserved ribonucleoprotein. It is involved in the co-translational targeting of proteins to membranes. The record is from Ensembl. Lineage: Eukaryota; Metazoa; Chordata; Mammalia; Primates; Cercopithecidae.
GCCGGGCAUGGUGGUGCAUGCCUGUAAUCCCAGCUACUCGGGAGGCUGAGGCAGGAGAAUUGCUUGAACCCAGGAGGUAGAGGUUGCAGUGAGCUGAGAUCGUGCCAUUGCACUCCAGCCUGGGUGACAGAGCGAGACUCUGUCUAAA